GAAAUGCGAUACGUAAUGUGAAUUGCAGAAUUCAGUGAAUCAUCGAAUCUUUGAACGCAUAUUGCGCUCUCUGGUAUUCCGGAGAGCAUGCUUGUUUGAGUAUCAGUAAACACCUCAGAUCCUCUCUUCUUUUUGAAGAGGGAAUUGGACUUGAGUAAUCCCAACACUUGCAAGAGUGGCGGGUUGCUUGAAAUGCAGGUGCAGCUGGACUUUUCUCUGAGCUAAAAGCAUAUUUAUUUAAUCCCGUCAAACGGAUUAUUACUUUUGCUGCAGCUAACAUAAAGGAGAAUCGUUCUUGUGCUGACUGAUGCAGGAUUCACAGGUUGCUUCAGCAACUUGUAAACUCGAUCUCAAAUCAAGUAAGACUACCCGCUGAACUUAA
This 382-nucleotide unclassified non-coding RNA is filed under the name uncultured fungus. RNAcentral describes it as "sequence contains ITS1". The stretch from base 1 to 105 matches the Rfam family "5.8S ribosomal RNA", at positions 50 to 154 of the family's 154-position model. The record is from RNAcentral. Lineage: Eukaryota; Fungi.